UCUCCGUAGGUGAACCUGCGGAGGGAUCAUUACCGAGUGAGGGUUCCGGCCCGACCUCCAACCCUUUGUGAAUUCGACCCAGUUGCCUCGGGGGCGACCCUGCCGUCCGCGGCUGAGCGCCCCCGGGGUCAAUCAAACACUGCAUUCUCUGCGUCGGAGUUUAAAACAAAUUAAACAAAACUUUCAACAACGGAUCUCUUGGUUCUGGCAUCGAUGAAGAACGCAGC
RNAcentral lists this unclassified non-coding RNA (227 nucleotides) under uncultured fungus. RNAcentral describes it as "sequence contains ITS1, 5.8S rRNA gene". The stretch from base 179 to 227 matches the Rfam family "5.8S ribosomal RNA", at positions 1 to 49 of the family's 154-position model. Lineage: Eukaryota; Fungi. The record is from RNAcentral.